UAUUUUUUGUACUGCUAUUACGACUAAUCAAGUAUGCGUACGUUUCUCUCAAGUAAUUUCCAAAAACAAGUCCAUAGAGAUCAAAGUAUUAAAAAUUAGAUAAACAUAAGUUCCAGCAAUUCUGUUGGUGCAACGAGGGUUACAUACGAAAUUCAUCACACAUUUGUGUAAAACUUGAAGAUUGCCUUAAGGACGAAGAACAGAAAUCAGAGACUUUAGCAUCCAGUGCCAACAAUGAUUCUUCAAAACGGCUUGAAGAUGAUCUAAAAUUAUUCUCACAUGAUUCGGUUUCACAUACCUCUUUAGAACCUGAAACGCAAGCACAGAAGUUUAACGGAAUAAUCGAUCAAGAAACUCUUGAUUUGGUGUUUGGAAAACCUGAAAACUCUUCGGCUGAUAAUAAACCCUUAGAAACUAAAACGCAAGCACAGAAGUUUAACGGAAUAAUCAAUGAAGAAACUCUUGAUUUGGUGUUUGGAAAACCUGAAAACUCUUGGGCUGAAAAUAAACCCUUAGAAACUAAAACGCAAGCACAGAAGUUUAACGGAAUAAUCAAUGAAGAAACUCUUGAUUUGGUGUUUGGAAAACCUGAAAACUCUUGGGCUGAAAAUAAACCCUUAGAAACUGAAACGCAAGCACAGAAGUUUAACGGAAUAAUCAAUGAAGAAACUCUUGAUUUGGUGUUUGGAAAACCUGAAAACUCUUGGGCUGAAAAUAAACCCUUAGAAACUAAAACGCAAGCACAGAAGUUUAACGGAAUAAUCAAUGAAGAAACUCUUGAUUUGGUGUUUGGAAAACCUGAAAACUCUUGGGCUGAAAAUAAACCCUUAGAAACUAAAACGCAAGCACAGAAGUUUAACGGAAUAAUCGAUCAGUAUACGAGAAGUAUAGUCUUCGUUUUUUAAAACAUAUAGAAGAGAGAAAACUUUUGUUUAGUUUUAAUGAGAACGUAAAUAGGCAAGAUAAGCUGGUACCGCUGACGUCAGUCCAAACCACCAGUAGGCAUCGUUAUCAUUUAAACCUAUACCGUAAACGAAUAACAGGAUAACCGCACAUGUUUUUAUGCACAUUGAAUGCCUAAAUAAAGGAUCGAAUACAGAAAAUUAAAAUUAAUGUUAGCUGCUGUUUAUACUAUAAAAGUAAGACUGUAUGCGUGAUUGAAGUCGCAUAAUCGAAUCCAUAUAUAAUAAUAUUUACCAUAACUACACUUAUUAGCAACUCAGUGUUGACUACGAGCAUACUGCAGCAUGUUGUUAAACAGGAUUCCUACUUUUUCUGGUUAUUGCAACCAUUAUUUGCGGUAUAAGGCCUUUUUUUUUUAAAGAAAAUAAAUGAUGAAAUAAAAUAAAUAAUCAUUAUCGAUCAUUACUUUGUUUGAUUGUCCUUUAUUCGGUAUUUUAAAGAUGAAAAAUCCGGGGAUCUCAAGUUUUCUAACAGAAGGUCCACUGUCAAUAAAUCAUUUGACAGAAUAAAAUAGUUCUACGUCUAUUUUUGAGGAUUUAAAGCCUAGUCAUCCAACAAAAUCUCUUAUGGUAAACACCCACCCAAAUACACACACAUGCAUACACACAUUAAUUUUAUGGAUCUCAAAGGUCAUAAUUAUUCAGCUGCAUUGGACAAUAGGUCCUUGGUCACUAGUCUAUUCAAUAGAUAUUACAGUAAAUCAUUACGCUAGCAGAAAGUGGUCAAAGCGUUUAAGCAUUACAUUAACUUCUCAUUUCGUAGCAAAUUUGCUAGUAGUCAACUCACUUGCACAUAAAACGCCUAACACCAACAAUUAGAACUUAUUAAUAAUCCGUAAUUACUAGCGCAUGCGUCAUUAACGUCUCGAUAUGGGAUCCCCGCAUAACCGGGUUUGCCUUAGUAACAUUCAUUUAUUCCUCUGUGUGGACGUCAAGCUCAUCAUAACAUGUUACUAAACGGAAAUAUAUUGUUUUUCUUAUUCGCUGCUAUUGAUAUUACAUGUAAGUAUAAAUAGAUCAUGUGUGUAACAAUAGUAUACAACAUACCAAGGAAAAAAAGUGGGACAUUCCGAUCCGAGUGUGUAAUUGCCUACCUGUACCAAUAGAGAGAGUAUUGUGUUUUUUACCAGAUCUGCACUUGGAAGUUUAAAUGCUUGCCUUUGUUAAAUAGGACAAGAAUCUAAACAUCCAGUGCUUCUAUGGUGAACAAUGAAUUGACUUCUUUAUAUUCCUAGUGGAGGUUUAACUAAAUAGAUAAUAUUUAACAUUACUGUUGUUUUUUCUUAAGUUAUUGGCGCGCUACCGGCUGAAUCUGGUCAAAAUGGAGUGACGAAUCAAUUUGGACCCACAGGGGUACCACUGCAGACAGUUUCUCAACUUCACUAUCUACUGUGUGGAAAAUAUGCAGUUUUAAAUAAAACUAUGCGAGCUCUGGAAGUUCGUUGCUACGACAACAAGCCAGAUCCCGAAUACAAGGUAAAACUCUUUAUUUUCCUUAACUAUUGUUGCCACCAACUCACAUCGACCUAUUAAUUAUUAAUUCGGAAAUAAAGUUGUAUAGCUGCGUGGUAACAAAUAAAUUCUAUUGUCAUUAUAACCUUGAAGCGGAAAGCGAUAAAAGUAAACUAUUGACGCCUCGUGGCGCCCGUUAUAUAUUUUCAUACAUCGUACGUUAUAAAUUGUCAUGUUUUCCAGCUUUCUCCGCCUGAUUGUGGAUGCUUAGAUGGUUACAUGCGGAAUUCAGCCAACGUUUGCAUUAAAGCUUCAGACUGCGUUCCAGUGCCCAAUGGAUCCAGUUCCUCAAGAAGUGAAUCAGUGGGCAAAGGCAUUGUAUUUAUUAUUUGCAGCGGAGUCGUUGGUAUCAGUUACAUUAUGUCAUAUAUCGUGAACAUGUAUGCUAUUGUGUAUGUCUUUCGUUCUCAGUUAUCUGCUAAAAAUUGGAUGGUUAAAUAAAUUAAAUAAGUAUCAACUAUUACUAUUUUGUUUAAUUUUCCAUUAUCUAGUAUUUUAGAGAUAAAAAGUCAGAAGAAUCCAAACUGUCUAACAAAAAAAUCUCUGUAAAAUAAUAAUUUAUAGAGCAGAAUAAAGUUCUAUGUCUAAUAUACGAGUUAACGAAUACUCUGUAUGCAAGUAAAACCUAUUGACUACAGAAAAAAAAGGAUUUUUUUCUAUCGAUACUCAAAUUAGCCGUGUAAACAACUCUAACUACAAAACUGUCACUAUAUACAAAGUGAGAUUGACAUUAGGGGAGAUGAACAUACAGUAACACCGCUACCAUACGAUACCACGAAGAUUUUUGAUUCGCAGUCUUAUACAAGUUACAUUAGCAGUAUCUUUCACCGAUGAUCUUUCGGGUUUAAAAUUGCAAUACUCUGGCGCUAGCUUCUGGAUCAAAAUAUGAAGCAAUAUUGCACAAUUCAUAUGCAAGAUAUGUGUUACUAAUUUCUUACAGCGAAUUUUAGUUAAUUUUGAACACUAUGACGCAAUAAUAUUGUAAGCAAAUCUUACGCAAGCAUUGCUUAAUAUUGUCACUAAGGAACUAGUCCGAAAUGUCAAAAAUGUCAAUUGACGAUUCACGACGAUUUAAAACUAUCAAAAACUUAAUCGUUUUAAAUUCUCUCGAAUCGUUAGUUGACGAUUCACCACGAUUAAAAACGAUUAAAAAUUUAAUCGUUUUUAAUCUUCUUUAAUAAUCAAUUGACGAUUCACGACGAUUUAAAACGAUUAAAAAUUUAAUCGUUUUUAAUCAUCAAUUGACGAUUCAUGACGAUUUGUGACGAUUAAAACAGUUUUAAUCGUCACAAAUCGUUUUGUUUAAUCAGGGUAAUUUGAACCAGUGACUCAAAUUAGUGUUAUCAUAAUACCUAUAUCCUGCCGGGACGUUGAUAGCGGCUAACAUUAGUUCUCGGUAUGAGUUUUCGAAGUCAUGUUUUCCUGGUUUGGUAUCCAUUAGGUAGUGUGAGUCAGAUAAAUAGUAAUAGUUAUACUACUUUAGUUCUGACCAAGUGUCCCUGCUAAAUCCAUGCGACUGAAAUCUUUGAAAGCAAAAGACAACAGGGUCACUGCAGCCAGCUACCCUAGCGGCAGUUUCUUCAACCAAUGAAUCCGUGUUUCUGUGAUUAACUAUCAGCAUUUUCCUAAUCUUGGCAGUGUCUGAGUACUUAAAUAAUUUAGAGUUUAAAUGAGGGUGUGAAGAAUAAUACGAAUACGUUAAUAUGCAAAAUUAUUGUUUAUUAGUAAUUUAUCAGUCCGUUAAUUAGUCCAAUUUCCAUUUAUAUGUUACGCUCUACAUGCCGAUGAUUGUUUCAGAGAACUCCAAGUUUUCAGAUACAUUGGGACAGUCUUCAACUUUGAUGCAAGUAUCUGAUUUAUCUCUAACGUACCCCUUUUCACACCAGCAUACUGUUGUAAACUGUAACAAAAAAAAACAAAUAGCUACAGAAUAAAAGUAAAGACAUAUAACUUGGUGUUUAUUUAAUUCCACAACUCUAAUCUUUGCUUGCUUUGCGGCGUUAAUUACUUCAUACCUGUCACAAUACUAAUUACGCUUUCAAUAGGAGCCCUUAUAAUUUUUAGAUUCUAUUUUGACGUGACCGUGACUCUUAUCAGUUCCGGUCAAUUAAAUGUGAUUCGGGAUUUAUCCAAACACAACACGGGCAUGACACUGUUUUAAUUUUUAUCAGUAUUUAAAAUAUUUCUUACUUUAAAGCAGAAUGUUGGGUUGUGAUCAUCACAGCGCUCUUCACACCCACGCCGCAUGGAGUCGUAGGCCUCGUUUUCACCACAAAAGCCAUCUUUCCAAGAGUCACUGUUGAUGGGCGAAGUUUCGAUCCCUUAAAAAAAUAAAAAAAUAAUAUUAAUACCUAUUUCACUAGCUAAUAUCUAGAUGGUGGUGUUGAAUAAAAAAAUAUUACACAUAUUGGAUAUACAUAUAUUAUUUAUACUUACCAAUAAAGGCGAUGCAAGCGACGAGCAGAACAAGUGCGAACUUUUCUGACAUCAUGUGGCCUUUAGUAUUAACUUCUUUCCUACGAUAAAGUUAAUUAACGACUAUAACUUAGAUUAAUAUUGCAACUGGUUAUAUAGGCACAACAAUUAAUUUUGAUGACGUAAAAGAGUUACUCAACUAUUUUUCUAUCUAGCUGUAUGCCUAAAUAUGAACUCUAGUUUGUCAUAAUUUCAAUAUUUUCAUAAUAUUUUUCAACGUUUAUCGGGCGUACAUUCCGAUGCGGUUUUCCUGUUUUCAGGUUUGCGUUAGAAUUUAAAUUUUUAAUAAUAUUUAUUAUUGAUUUUGAAUGAUGCAAUAAACUUCUGCGUUCCCUACCUACUUUACGUCGUGUUUGAAAUACAGAUAUCUUUUCUUUUUUUUGAAAAAGCUUUUGUGGUGAAAACGAGGCCUACGACUCCAUGCGGCGUGGGUGUGAAGAGCGCUGUGAUGAUCACAACCCAACAUUCUGCUUUAAAUUUACAACAGUAUGCUGGUGUGAAAAGGGGUACGUUAGAGAUAAAUCAGAUACUUGCAUCAAAGUUGAAGACUGUCCCAAUGUAUCUGAAAACUUGGAGUUCUCUGAAACAAUCAUCGGCAUGUAGAGCGUAACAUAUAAAUGGAAAUUGGACUAAUUAACGGACUGAUAAAUUACUAAUAAACAAUAAUUUUGCAUAUUAACGUAUUCGUAUUAUUCUUCACACCCUCAUUUAAACUCUAAAUUAUUUAAGUACUCAGACACUGCCAAGAUUAGGAAAAUGCUGAUAGUUAAUCACAGAAACACGGAUUCAUUGGUUGAAGAAACUGCCGCUAGGGUAGCUGGCUGCAGUGACCCUGUUGUCUUUUGCUUUCAAAGAUUCCAGUCGCAUGGAUUUAGCAGGGACACUUGGUCAGAACUAAAGUAGUAUAACUAUUACUAUUUAUCUGACUCACACUACCUAAUGGAUACCAAACCAGGAAAACAUGACUUCGAAAACUCAUACCGAGAACUAAUGUUAGCCGCUAUCAGCGUCCCGGCAGGAUAUAGGUAUUAUGAUAACACUAAUUUGAGUCACUGGUUCAAAUUACCCUGAUUAAACAAAACGAUUUGUGACGAUUAAAACUGUUUUAAUCGUCACAAAUCGUCAUGAAUCGUCAAUUGAUGAUUAAAAACGAUUAAAUUUUUAAUCGUUUUAAAUCGUCGUGAAUCGUCAAUUGAUUAUUAAAGAAGAUUAAAAACGAUUAAAUUUUUAAUCGUUUUUAAUCGUGGUGAAUCGUCAACUAACGAUUCGAGAGAAUUUAAAACGAUUAAGUUUUUGAUAGUUUUAAA
Molecule: RNA transcript, 6256 nt
Organism: Microplitis demolitor
Lineage: Eukaryota; Metazoa; Arthropoda; Insecta; Hymenoptera; Braconidae
Gene: Egf1.5-1
Exons: 3
Source: RefSeq, a predicted model, not a curated record